CCUACGGGUGGCAGCAGUGAGGAAUAUUGGUCAAUGGACGAGAGUCUGAACCAGCCAAGUAGCGUGAAGGAUGACUGCCCUAUGGGUUGUAAACUUCUUUUGUAUGGGAAUAAAAUGUUUCACGUGUGGGAUUUUGUAUGUACCAUAUGAAUAAGCAUCGGCUAACUCCGUGCCAGCAGCCGCGGUAAUACGGAGGAUACGAGCUGUCUCCGGAUUUAUUGGGUUUAAAGGGUGCGUAGGGGGAUUGUUAAGUCAGUUGUGAAAGUUUGCGGCUCAAACGUAAAAUUGCAGUUGAAACUGGCAGCCGUGAGUGCAGUAGAGGUGGGCGGAAUGCGUGGUGUAGCGGUGAAAUGCUUAGAUAUCACGAAGAACGCCGAUUGCGAAGGCAGCUCACUGGACUGCAACUGACACUGAGGCUCGAAAGUGUGGGUAUCGAACAGGAUUAGAUACCCCUGUAGUC
This 460-nucleotide ribosomal RNA is filed under the name uncultured bacterium. Its description in RNAcentral is "partial 16S ribosomal RNA". It matches the Rfam family "Bacterial small subunit ribosomal RNA", at positions 338 to 795 of the family's 1533-position model. The record is from RNAcentral.